UGGGCUGUCAAAAAAUUAAUUGAUUUCCAAAUGAUUUGAAAUGUUUUUACUGAGUAAAUGGUACACCGAGUCUCCCGUGCUGAUCCUAUAAGUAUUCUGAACUGUGAUUUGUUUUAAACUGAAAAUUUAAUGGAUAGUGUACAGGCCCAAUUCCACCCCGGCCUUAAACACAAAAAAAUAAACAAUUAAAAUUCCCCAGCCCAAACUAAGCCUACCCAUUACAAACCCUAUCGAAUAACAGACCCAAAAAUAAGCCCAAACUAACCCACAGCCCAAAAUCUAAAAACCCAAUACCCAUUUUCAGAAAAAAAAAACAAAAGAAAACCCCAG
This 330-nucleotide long non-coding RNA is filed under the name Gossypium raimondii (Peruvian cotton). RNAcentral describes it as "long non-coding RNA (GRAI_LNC003057)". Lineage: Eukaryota; Viridiplantae; Streptophyta; Magnoliopsida; Malvales; Malvaceae. The record is from RNAcentral.